RNAcentral lists this unclassified non-coding RNA (384 nucleotides) under Hevea brasiliensis (rubber tree). Lineage: Eukaryota; Viridiplantae; Streptophyta; Magnoliopsida; Malpighiales; Euphorbiaceae. The record is from RNAcentral.
GGAGGGUGUUAGGGUUUCCAAUUCCGAUUCUUCACCUGCAAAUUAGGACCGAAGAAGAAAGAGAAAGAUGUGGCAUGAAGCUCGGAGGUCGGAGAAGAAAGUUCACGAUAUGAUGGACGCUGCUCGUAAGAGAGCUCAAAGACGGGCCAUCUAUCUCGCUAAACGCCGUGGUGAUCCUCAGCAAUCCAUUCAAGCCAUCGGCUCUCGUUGUCGUAUCUACCGCGACGACGCUCUUUAUCAAGCCACCGAGGAUCAGCAGGGAAUGAUACCUUGGAAUGGGAAACAAGACAUUUUGAUUGACAGAUUUGAUGGCCGUGCUCUUCUUGAUUUCAUUCGUGAUCCUAGUUCUCGACAUCGUCGGGCCCCAGAAAGAACAGAGGAAGA